RNAcentral lists this ribosomal RNA (1351 nucleotides) under metagenome. Its description in RNAcentral is "bacterial LSU rRNA". It matches the Rfam family "Bacterial large subunit ribosomal RNA", at positions 1564 to 2925 of the family's 2925-position model. The record is from RNAcentral.
UGAGUACGAGCUGCUACGGCAGCGAAGUGGGUGAUGUCAUGCUUCCAAGAAAAGCCCUAUACCCGUUAAGGCAUGAUGGCCUGUACCCGAAACCGACACAGGUGGGGUGGUAGAGAAUACCGAGGGGCGCGAGGUAACUCUCUCUAAGGAACUCGGCAAAAUGGCCCCGUAACUUCGGGAGAAGGGGUGCCACCGCAAGGUGGUCGCAGUGAAGAGGCCCAGGCGACUGUUUACCAAAAACACAGGUCUCCGCUAAGUCGCAAGACGAUGUAUGGGGGCUGACGCCUGCCCAGUGCCGGAAGGUUAAGGAAGCUGGUCAGCGUAAGCGAAGCUAGCGACUGAAGCCCCGGUGAACGGCGGCCGUAACGAUAACGGUCCUAAGGUAGCGAAAUUCCUUGUCGGGUAAGUUCCGACCCGCACGAAAGGCGUAACGAUCUGGGCGCUGUCUCGGAGAGAGGCUCGGCGAAAUAGAAUUGUCUGUGAAGAUGCGGACUACGUGCACCCGGACAGAAAGACCCUAUGAAGCUUUACUGUAGCUUGGUAUUGUGCUCGGGCUCGGAAUGCGCAGGAUAGGUGGGAGGCUAUGAACCAUUGCUCGUGGGUGAUGGUGAGCCACUGGUGAGAUACCACUCUUUCCGAGCUAGAGUUCUAACAGCCACCCGUUAUCCGGGGGCUGGACAGUAUCAGGUGGGCAGUUUGACUGGGGUGGUCGCCUCCUAAAAGGUAACGGAGGCGCGCAAAGGUUUGCUCAGGCUGGUUGGAAAUCAGCCGACGAGUGUAAAAGCAGAAGCAAGCUUGACUGUGAGACCUACAAGUCGAACAGGGAGGAAACUCGGCUUUAGUGAUCCGACGGUUCUGCGUGGAAGGGCCGUCGCUCAACGGAUAAAAGUUACUCUAAGGAUAACAGGCUGAUCUCCCCCAAGAGUUCACAUCGACGGGGAGGUUUGGCACCUCGAUGUCGGCUCAUCGCAACCUGGGGCUGAAGUCGGUCCCAAGGGUUGGGCUGUUCGCCCAUUAAAGCGGUACGCGAGCUGGGUUCAGAACGUCGUGAGACAGUUCGGUCCAUAUCCGGUGCAUGCGCAGGAAUAUUGAGAGGAUUUCUCCCUAGUACGAGAGGACCGGGAGGAACGCACCUCUGGUGUACCAGUUAUCGUGCCAACGGUAAACGCUGGGUAGCCAUGUGCGGAGAGGAUAACCGCUGAAAGCAUCUAAGUGGGAAGCCCACCUCAAGAUGAGUAUUCCCAUGGGGUAACCCAGUAAGGUCACGGGAAGAACACCCGUUGAUAGGCUCUACGUGGAAGCGCAGUAAUGUGUGAAGCGGAGGAGUACUAAUAGACCGAGGGCUUGACCU